CCCUUUGGACUUAGACUGAAGCAAGUUACCAGCUUCCCUGGUUCUCCAGCUUGCAAAUGACCUAUCAUGAAACUUCUCAGCUUCAAUAAUCAGAGCUUCAACCAGCACUACUACUUGAGGACCUAUGCAGUGUUUGUCCAUGAGCAUGGAAUGACUCAUACUGGCCUCAGAGUUAGGGACUCACUUUAAAGGAAAGGGGAUGCAGUAGUGGGCACAUGACUAAGAAAUCCACCGAUCCUCUCAUAUACUGCACCACCAGAAGCUGCUGGAUUAGCAGAGCAAAGGUCACAGAACGUUUUCCUGAAUCGGAUUCUGGGUUAAAGCUGCCAGUAGGAAGAAUUCACAUGAGAUUUCAAAGGUGGAAGAGAAGGAGAAGGUGUUUUUUUCUUGCAACAGUUUGGCUGGGGAGCUGAGAUCUUCACUGAGGGCUUCCUUUGGCUCCGGGUUCCCGUGGACAGGCAGCCGAUGUCAUCAGUGGUGGCUUCUCUGUGAUCACUAUACCACCAGGUCUCCUAAAGUGGCCUUCUUGACCUUUGCCUCCCCAGCUCUUUCAAUGGUUAUGUGAAACUCUAAUUAUGUACAUUAAAUAUCUUUCAGCUCAUAAUACAUAGAGUCAUUUCCCUCCCC
RNAcentral lists this long non-coding RNA (627 nucleotides) under Homo sapiens (human). RNAcentral's name for it is "HSALNT0200777". Lineage: Eukaryota; Metazoa; Chordata; Mammalia; Primates; Hominidae. The record is from RNAcentral.